RNAcentral lists this unclassified non-coding RNA (233 nucleotides) under uncultured Borrelia sp. Its description in RNAcentral is "partial contains 5S-23S ribosomal RNA intergenic spacer and 23S ribosomal RNA". The stretch from base 151 to 233 matches the Rfam family "Bacterial large subunit ribosomal RNA", at positions 1 to 83 of the family's 2925-position model. Lineage: Bacteria; Pseudomonadati; Spirochaetota; Spirochaetia; Spirochaetales; Borreliaceae. The record is from RNAcentral.
UGAUUUAUUUUUUAAUGUUUAUAUUAUUUGAAUAGUUUUAUUCAAAUAAUAUAAAAAAUAAUAUAUAUAUUGACAUGGAUUAAACAAAGAUAUAUAUUAUUCUAUGUUGUAUAAACAAAUUGGCAAAAUAGAGAUGGAAGAUAAAAAUAUGGUCAAAGUAAUAAGAGUCUAUGGUGRAUGCCUAGGAGCUUUAAGGCGAAGAAGGUCGUGGUAAGCUGCGAAAAGCUUGGGGG